UGUAUGACAUUGCCCUUGUUGAACUCACCAUCAACCGGAACCUGAACCCACCCAUCUUCAACCCCGUCAGUUAUGAAGAGACCAUUCUCGAGCCCAGGCCAAUUGGAGACGUGGUUCUCAUAGAGUGACAGUUUCAGAUGUUGAUAGCCUGGACAAAGGAUACACUGAAGAGGAUUCGGCAUACCUGUUUCCUGAAAAACGUGGAUACCGUGCCAAUGUUCAAAGUGUCAAGCCUCCAAAACACAUGCAUGUAGAGUCCCCUGCUUCAAAAGCGUGUCGUAAAAAGUCGACUUUACGAGAAGCGAAUUGAAUCUAUACAUGACCCGGCUAAUCAUGUGACCUUGUUGAUCAUGUGACCUGGCAGAUCAUGCGAUCUGACUGAUCAGGUGACCUUAGACAUGAGUCAUGGUGGUUUUAAUGGAAAUAAGACUUCGGUAAAUGUACAAAGUAUGAAUCGAUAUAACGCA
This is a long non-coding RNA of Haliotis rubra (blacklip abalone), 467 nucleotides long. RefSeq lists it as uncharacterized. Lineage: Eukaryota; Metazoa; Mollusca; Gastropoda; Lepetellida; Haliotidae. The transcript is spliced from 2 exons. The record is from RefSeq and is a predicted model, not a curated record.